AUUGAACGCUAGCGGGAUGCUUUACACAUGCAAGUCGAACGGCAGCGCGGACUUCGGUCUGGCGGCGAGUGGCGAACGGGUGAGUAAUGUAUCGGAACGUGCCCAGUAGCGGGGGAUAACUACGCGAAAGCGUAGCUAAUACCGCAUACGCCCUACGGGGGAAAGCAGGGGAUCGUAAGACCUUGCACUAUUGGAGCGGCCGAUAUCGGAUUAGCUAGUUAGUGAGGUAACGGCUCACCAAGGCGACGAUCCGUAGCUGGUUUGAGAGGACGACCAGCCACACUGGGACUGAGACACGGCCCAGACUCCUACGGGAGGCAGCAGUGGGGAAUUUUGGACAAUGGGGGCAACCCUGAUCCAGCCAUCCCGCGUGUGCGAUGAAGGCCUUCGGGUUGUAAAGCACUUUUGGCAGGAAAGAAACGUCGCGGGCUAAUACCCCGUGGAACUGACGGUACCUGCAGAAUAAGCACCGGCUAACUACGUG
Molecule: ribosomal RNA, 484 nt
Filed under: uncultured bacterium
Lineage: Bacteria
Description: partial 16S ribosomal RNA
Rfam family: Bacterial small subunit ribosomal RNA
Source: RNAcentral